This 468-nucleotide ribosomal RNA is filed under the name uncultured bacterium. Its description in RNAcentral is "partial 16S ribosomal RNA". It matches the Rfam family "Bacterial small subunit ribosomal RNA", at positions 28 to 507 of the family's 1533-position model. The record is from RNAcentral.
GACGAACGCUGGCGGCGUGCUUAACACAUGCAAGUCGAACGGAAAGGCCCUGCUUUUGUGGGGUGCUCGAGUGGCGAACGGGUGAGUAACACGUGAGUAACCUGCCCUUGACUUUGGGAUAACUUCAGGAAACUGGGGCUAAUACCGGAUAGGAGCUCCUGCUGCAUGGUGGGGGUUGGAAAGUUUCGGCGGGUGGGGAUGGACGCGCGGCUUAUCAGCUUGUUGGUGGGGUAGUGGCUUACCAAGGCUUUGACGGGUAGCCGGCCUGAGAGGGUGACCGGCCACAUUGGGACUGAGGUACGGCGCAGACUCCUACGGGAGGCAGCAGUGGGGAAUAUUGCACAAUGGGCGGAAGCCUGAUGCAGCAACGCCGCGUGCGGGAUGACGGCCUUCGGGUUGUAAACCGCUUUCGCCUGUGACGAAGCGUGAGUGACGGUAAUGGGUAAAGAAGCACCGGCUAACUACGUG